This 346-nucleotide unclassified non-coding RNA is filed under the name soil metagenome. RNAcentral describes it as "partial contains 5.8S ribosomal RNA, internal transcribed spacer 2, and large subunit ribosomal RNA". The stretch from base 1 to 120 matches the Rfam family "5.8S ribosomal RNA", at positions 35 to 154 of the family's 154-position model. The record is from RNAcentral.
GAUGAAGAACGUAGCGAAAUGCGAUACGUAAUGUGAAUUGCAGAAUUCAGUGAAUCAUCGAGUCUUUGAACGCACAUUGCGCCCCCUGGUAUUCCGGGGGGCAUGCCUGUCCGAGCGUCAUUGCUGCCCUCAAGCCCGGCUUGUGUGUUGGGUCUCGUCCCCCUUCCCGGGGGGCCGGGCCCGAAAGGCAGCGGCGGCACCGCGUCCGGUCCUCGAGCGUAUGGGGCUUUGUCACCCGCUCUGUAGGCCCGGCCGGCGCUUGCCGAUCAACCAAAACUUUUUUCCAGGUUGACCUCGGAUCAGGUAGGGAUACCCGCUGAACUUAAGCAUAUCAAUAAGCGGAGGA